Molecule: ribosomal RNA, 795 nt
Filed under: uncultured bacterium
Lineage: Bacteria
Description: bacterial SSU rRNA
Rfam family: Bacterial small subunit ribosomal RNA
Source: RNAcentral
AACGAACGCUGGCGGCAUGCCUAACACAUGCAAGUCGAACGAACCUUUCGGGGUUAGUGGCGCACGGGUGCGUAACGCGUGGGAAUCUGCCCUUAGGUACGGAAUAACUCAGGGAAACUUGUGCUAAUACCGUAUGAUGUCUUCGGACCAAAGAUUUAUCGCCUAGGGAUGAGCCCGCGUUGGAUUAGCUAGUUGGUGGGGUAAAGGCCUACCAAGGCGACGAUCCAUAGCUGGUCUGAGAGGAUGAUCAGCCACACUGGGACUGAGACACGGCCCAGACCCCUACGGGAGGCAGCAGUGGGGAAUAUUGGACAAUGGGCGCAAGCCUGAUCCAGCAAUGCCGCGUGAGUGAUGAAGGCCUUAGGGUUGUAAAGCUCUUUUACCCGGGAAGAUAAUGACUGUACCGGGAGAAUAAGCCCCGGCUAACUCCGUGCCAGCAGCCGCGGUAAUACGGAGGGGGCUAGCGUUGUUCGGAAUUACUGGGCGUAAAGCGUACGUAGGCGGCUUUGUAAGUUAGAGGUGAAAGCCCGGGGCUCAACCCCGGAAUUGCCUUUAAGACUGCAUCGCUUGAACGUCGGAGAGGUGAGUGGAAUUCCGAGUGUAGAGGUGAAAUUCGUAGAUAUUCGGAAGAACACCAGUGGCGAAGGCGGCUCACUGGACGACUGUUGACGCUGAGGUACGAAAGCGUGGGGAGCAAACAGGAUUAGAUACCCUGGUAGUCCACGCCGUAAACGAUGAUAACUAGCUGUCCGGGCACUUGGUGCUUGGGUGGCGCAGCUAACGCAUUAAGUUAUC